This 468-nucleotide ribosomal RNA is filed under the name uncultured bacterium. RNAcentral describes it as "partial 16S ribosomal RNA". It matches the Rfam family "Bacterial small subunit ribosomal RNA", at positions 28 to 507 of the family's 1533-position model. The record is from RNAcentral.
GACGAACGCUGGCGGCGUGCUUAACACAUGCAAGUCGAACGGAAAGGCCCUGCUUUUGUGGGGUGCUCGAGUGGCGAACGGGUGAGUAACACGUGAGUAACCUGCCCUUGACUUUGGGAUAACUUCAGGAAACUGGGGCUAAUACCGGAUAGGAGCUCCUGCUGCAUGGUGGGGGUUGGAAAGUUUCGGCGGUUGGGGAUGGACUCGCGGCUUAUCAGCUUGUUGGUGGGGUAGUGGCUUACCAAGGCUUUGACGGGUAGCCGGCCUGAGAGGGUGACCGGCCACGUUGGGACUGAGAUAUGGCCCAGACUCCUACGGGAGGCAGCAGUGGGGAAUAUUGCACAAUGGGCGGAAGCCUGAUGCAGCAACGCCGCGUGCGGGAUGACGGCCUUCGGGUUGUAAACCGCUUUCGCCUGUGACGAAGCGUGAGUGACGGUAAUGGGUAAAGAAGCACCGGCUAACUACGUG